Molecule: ribosomal RNA, 468 nt
Filed under: uncultured bacterium
Lineage: Bacteria
Description: partial 16S ribosomal RNA
Rfam family: Bacterial small subunit ribosomal RNA
Source: RNAcentral
GACGAACGCUGGCGGCGUGCUUAACACAUGCAAGUCGAACGGAAAGGCCCUGCUUUUGUGGGGUUCUCGAGUGGCGAACGGGUGCGUAACACGUGAGUAACCUGCCCUUGACUUUGGGAUAACUUCAGGAAACUGGGGCUACUCCCGUAUAGGAGCUCCUGCUGCGUGGUGGGGGUUGGAAAGUUUCGGCGGUUGGGGAUGGACUGGCGGCUUAUCGGCUUGUUGGUGGGGUAGUGGCUUACCCAGGCUUUGACGGGUAGCCGGCCUGAGAGGGUGACCGGGCACAUGGGGACUGCGAGACGGACCAGACUCCUACGGGAGGCAGCAGGGGGGAAUAUGGCACAACGGGCGGAAGCCUGAUGCAGCAACGCCGCGUGCGGGAUGACGGCCUGCGGGGUGUAAACCGCUGUCGCCUGUGACGAAGCGGGAGUGACGGUAAUGGGUAAAGAAGCACCGGCUAACUACGUG